Raphanus sativus (radish) is the source of this 4681-nucleotide long non-coding RNA. RefSeq lists it as uncharacterized. The record is from RefSeq and is a predicted model, not a curated record. NCBI's taxonomy places the organism in Eukaryota, Viridiplantae, Streptophyta, Magnoliopsida, Brassicales, Brassicaceae. The transcript has 2 exons.
CUUAAGAAGUAGCAACAUAAAACAAAUAAGUUCUUUGACUUCUUUUAUGUCUUUUAUGUUUUUGUUUUUUUUAGUUUUAUCAAUUAAACUCCAAAAAGAUCAUAGGCAGACACUUAUCUAAUAGUGUUUCUGCCAGAUUCUUAUUUUUGGGAACAUUGUCCCGAGUCCCUGUUGCAGUGAAAGCUUAGUCCCAAAGGAAAUUUAAUUAAAUCCAUCUUCUUAGAAACUGUUGGUUGGUAGUGCAUGAAUGUCUUAAGAGAUGUUUGGGGAUGGAAAGUAAAACACAACCUUAGUAGUACCCACGGCUUUACAAAACACAACCAUCGGCUUAAAAAAAGAGUUCUUUAGACAGAAAACAGCUAUUUCUGUAGUUAUGAAAAUUGAUGGAUGGAUAAACGACCAUCAGCUUACAAAAUAGUCUUAAGACAAAGGCUAUGAGUUGGUUUUGUACUUGUUGGAUGGAAAAUAACACACACCUUAGUAGUACCCACGGCUUUACAAAACACAACCAUCGGCUUAAGAAAAAAAAAGAGUCCUUUAGACAGAAAACAGCUAUUUCUAUAGCUAUAAAACUUGAUGGAUGGAUAAACGACCAUCAGCUUACAAAAUAGUCUUAAGACAAAGGCUAUGAGAGUUGGUUUUGUACUUGUUGGAUGGAAAAUAAUAACACACACCUUAGUAAUACCCACGGCUUUACAAAACACAACCAUUGGCUUAGAAAAAAGAGUUUUUUAGACAGAAAACGGCUAUGUCUAUAGCUAUGAAAAUUGAUGGAUGGAUAAACGACCAUCAGCUUACGAAAUAGUCUUAAGACAAAGGCUAUGAGAGUUGGUUUUGUACUUGUUGGAUGGAAAAUAACACACACUUUAGUAGUACCCACGGCUUUACAAAAUACAACCAUCGGCUUAAGAAAAAAAAAAGAGUUCUUUAGACAGAAAAUGGCUAUUUCUAUAGCUAUGAAACUUGAUGGAUGGAUAAACGACCAUCAGCUUACAAAAUAGUCUUAAGACAAAGGCUAUGAGUUGGUUUUGUACUUGUUGGAUGGAAAAUAACGACCACGAGCCAUGAAAACUAAUUGUCCCGAGUCCCGUUGUGUGAACUUGUUGGAUGGAAAAUAACGACCACAAGUCACCUUCGUACCCACGGCUUUAACAAAACAACCAUUGGCUUAAAAGAAAUGUCUUUAGACAGAAAAUGGCUAUGUCUAUAGCUAUGAAAAUUGAUGGAUGUAUAAACGACCAUCAGCUAACAAAAUAGUCGUAAGACAAAGGCUAUGAGUUGGUUUUGUACUUGUUGGAUGGAAAAUAAAGACCACAAAUCAUGAAAACUAAGUGUCCCGAGUCCCGUUGCGUGAACUUGUUGGAUGGAAAAUAACGACCACAAGUCAUGAAAAGUAAUGUCCCGAGUCCCGUUGGUAUUGUACGGUUUGAGAGAAGUCUUCAGACAAAGACUCUAAAUCUAAACCCCAGGUCCAUUGCUUAACCACAGCUCUAUGAGCAAAGGAUACUUGAGGAUGUGAAGUGUGAGAAAAUUUAGUACCAACGGCUUAUUAAAAGACAGAGUUUGUGAAUGAAAAUGUCUUCAUCACGUACGUUAGUACCCACGGCUUAUGAACAAGCUUUUAGACAGAGUUUGUAAAACUACCAACGGCUUAAAGACAACUGUUUAGACAGAGAAUGUGAUUGUAAGAAAGUCUUUAGACAGAGACUAUUCAUCACAUUAGUACCCAUGGCUUGCAAGAAAGUCUUUUGAUAAAGACAUUGUAAAACUACCACUCGCUUAAAAAAGACAACUGUUUAGACAGAAAAUGUGAUUGUAAAAAAGUCUUUAGAUAGAGACUGUAUUCAUAACAUAGUACCCACGGCUUGCAAAUGACUGAAUCUGUUUUUGAAUACAUCAUCAGAUUUGUACCCACGGCUUGCAAAAAAGGUCUUCAGGCAAAGACUGUUUUUGAAUACAUCAUCAGAUUUCUACCCACGGCUUUGAAAAAAAAGUUAUAGACAAAGGCUAUGAGAUCGUCAUAAUGGCUUUAAAGAAUCAUCAACCGUUUCUUUCUUUUUUUACCACAAGUUAUCAAUUUUCUCAAUCUCUGAACUUUUUUUUUCUUUCCAGGUGAAACCGAGUCAUGUUCUUUUAGCUGUCAGACUCUUAAAGCUUCAGUUAUCAAAGUGUUGAAGGUUGCAACAUGGACGACACAUAUGAAGUCUAGAAUCCUUGUAGUGGAGAUGCAUAUCAACAGAAGGGUGCAGCCGAGCCAGCUCCUGCUACAGCAGGUACUUAAGCACCGUUUAGGAGAAACAUACAUGAAGUGAACUAGUUAUAUUUGUUUAGGUAUGGGCUUCACAAACUGUUCAUAUCCUCAUUGACGCUUGUUCAGGUAUAUGUUUACCUUCACUUUUUUCUCUUACAAAAUUAUAUUAUUACGCCCCAUUUUAAGAUUAUAUAUGUUUUAUUAAGCUAGCUCGACAACGUUUCUCUCACUGAUUUAGCAUCCAUGAGAUUCUAUACACUGACUGCUAACAAAUCCACUGAUGAGCAAGUAGAUUCUUUUUUAAUAUUGGAACAUUACAUUGUGUUUCAGUGUUUAAUCUCUAUUCUUAAUUUGGUGCUUGUACGUAUGAGAAGGUCUUUUAAUUUUAUAAAAGUUGAUGUAUCUUAAAGUCUCUGGUAGAGAAACGUAGGUGAGAAAUUCCUGCAAACUGUGCUAGUAGUUUCUUUGAAUCUUGAAUGUUUUUUAUUUGGGUCAUGCGUUUAACCCUCAUUUGUCAGUCUAAACAUGUUAGAAUCUUAUAUUUUUGGUGCUUGUAUGUAUUAUAUGAUCUCUCAUUUUAUGAAAUCUAUGUAUCUUAGAUUCUCUGAUAGAUCAACAUAAGUGAGAGAUUACAUCAUGUUGUUGUGCGUAGUAGUUAUGUUUGAAUCUUUAUGAAUGUUUCUAUUUUGUGUUAUGAUCUUAGCCCUCAGUGAUAAAUAACUCUAAACGGUGCUUUUAUAUCUUUAGUUUGGUGCUUUUAUAUAUUUUAGAGUCUCUUGUAGAUCAAACAGGCGAAACUCCUACAGAUUGUGUGAGUAGUUUCAUUGAAUUUUGAAUGUUCUCUGUUUUUGUGUUAUGCUCCUCCUACUCUCAUUGAUCAUACUAAACUGUGUUGUUAUCUGUAUGUUGCUUAGAGAAAGGUUAUUAUUCUAAAUUAGUUUGGUGCUUCUGUGUAUUAUAAAGUAUCUUGUUUCUUAUAAAGUCACUUCUAGAUCAACGUAUAUGAGAGAGACUCCUGCAGAAUGUGGUCGUAGAUUCCUUUUUUCUUGAAUGGUUCUGUUUUGUGUUAUACACUUAACCCUCACAGACCAUUGUAAACAUGUGAAAUGACAUCUUCACAACUCUGCAUAGUAGGCUAAUGAUUACUGUGUUAGAUUCUAUAAAUUGUAUAUGUUGAAUUGAGCUUUUACAGUGAUUGAAAAUUUCUCGUUAUCAAGUCUAUAUCUUUGUCUCCGAGUCUUGGCAACAUUUCUGUCGAUCAACACAAAGGCAUUAUAUAAAUUAUAUACGUUGACUUGAGCUUUUACAGUGAUUGAAAAUUCCUCUGUUAUCACUAUAUCUUUGUCUGCAAGUCUUAGCAACAUUUGUGUCGAUCAACACAAAGGCAUUAACAUGAUAAAUCAAACAUAAUUUUUAGAUGCAUAGACAUGCUUCUUCUGGUCCUCCACGGACACAAAUGCAGCUUUCAAAAAAUAUUAGAUUGUUAGUAUGAACAGAGGAAUGUAUGAGUAAACUAAAUAUACCUAAUGAAGAGACUCUUAGGUCCUUGAAUCAUAUAGACACUUUAGAGUUCUACUUACCAAGAUGGGUUCUUCAUUUUUUCGAGUGUGCAAGUCCUUGAUGGAUGUUCUAGUGUAUUUCUUUGAUCAAUGCAAGAUAGCUUAUUACAUCAAACACAAAGAAUCAAUCAAAAGCAUAUUUGGAAGUAUAAAUCAAUCAAAUAAGCAAAAUGAACAAUCAUAUUAAGUUCAAGGCUCACCUUCCCUGGUUUGAAUUGGAUUUAAAAUUUAGUUUCUUUGGGGUUUCUUUAAAACUUUUUUGCAUCCCUUAAGAACAGAACAGCUUUGCAAACAGAUUCUGGUUCAAUAAUCUUGCACCAAACCUUCAUUCAAGCAAUGAUAUUUACAUUUUUAGCAAAAAAAAAAAAUUACUUACCAAGAUCAAAGAAACGUUUAUAUGUUUUGAUGAAGCCCAAUAGUUUCUAUCGUAGUUUUACCAAGAUCAAAUAAACGUUUAUAUGUUGUGAUGAAACCCAAUAGUUUCUAUCGUAGUUUAUAAGUCGAAAUACAUAAGACAAAACUUUAUUUAGUUUAGUUAGUAGACAUAAUACUAAUCUAUGUUAUGACUUGGUUUUGUGUUUCUAUGUUUCAAGGUGACUGCCCAUGUUAUGAGCCGAAGUACAAGGAAGGAAAAUCUGUUCUUGAACUGCGCGAGACCUUUCUUGAUUUUUUUUUAUCAAGCAAAUUACAUUACAAAGUUAUUACAUAAACAGAGGUUUAAUCCCAUAUGUUCAUAUUUAUUAUGUAUUUUUUUUUGCCAAAAUGUGAAUUUUCAUAUUAAAUGAUGCAUGAUUGUAAAGAUACAAUAAGUUUUAGAUAUUUCUAGAGGUUGCCUUGGCAAAAAUAAUAAAAACAAGGCUAGUUCUAGGCA